This 616-nucleotide ribosomal RNA is filed under the name Drosophila neocordata. RNAcentral describes it as "partial 16S ribosomal RNA". It matches the Rfam family "Bacterial large subunit ribosomal RNA", at positions 1895 to 2765 of the family's 2925-position model. Lineage: Eukaryota; Metazoa; Arthropoda; Insecta; Diptera; Drosophilidae. The record is from RNAcentral.
UUAAAGUCUAACCUGCCCACUGAAUUUUUAAAUGGCCGCAGUAUUUUAACUGUGCAAAGGUAGCAUAAUCAUUAGUCUUUUAAUUGAAGGCUGGAAUGAAUGGUUGGACGAGAUAUUAACUGUUUCAUUUAAAAUUUUAUUAGAAUUUUAUUUUUUAGUCAAAAAGCUAAAAUUUAUUUAAAAGACGAGAAGACCCUAUAAAUCUUUAUAUUUUAUUUAUUUUAAUUAUAAAGAUUAGUUUUAUUAUAAUAAAUUAAAAUAUUUUAUUGGGGUGAUAAUAAAAUUUAAAAAACUUUUAUAAAUUUUAACAUUAAUGUAUGAAUAAUUGAUCCAUUAAUAAUGAUUAAAAAUUUAAGUUACUUUAGGGAUAACAGCGUAAUUUUUUUGGAGAGUUCUUAUCGAUAAAAAAGAUUGCGACCUCGAUGUUGGAUUAAGAUAUAAUUUUGGGUGUAGCCGUUCAAAUUUUAAGUCUGUUCGACUUUUAAAUUCUUACAUGAUCUGAGUUCAAACCGGCGUAAGCCAGGUUGGUUUCUAUCUUUAAUUAAUUAUAAUAUUUUAGUACGAAAGGACCAAAUAUUAAAAUUAUUUAUUUUAAAAAAGAAUAUUAUUAAUAUAU